GUGAAUCAUCGAAUUUUUGAACGCACAUUGCGCUUUCUGGUAUUCCGGAAAGUAUGCCUGUUUGAGGGUCAGUAAAAUAAUAAUCGGUGUUGUUGCUGCCUUUCGUGGUUAAGCGCCGGAAUUGGGUCGUCUUACCUUCGGUUAAGUGACUUAAAAUUUUUGCAUGAUUUUCGUACGUAUUUAAAUUUCUUACGUACGUUUGAGAUAUCGAUUACUUUAUCAGGUUCGGUCAUCCUCAUGAUUCGCACUUAUAAUUUUUCAUGAUAUGAACUCA
Molecule: unclassified non-coding RNA, 274 nt
Filed under: Glomeraceae sp.
Lineage: Eukaryota; Fungi; Glomeromycota; Glomeromycetes; Glomerales; Glomeraceae
Description: partial contains 5.8S ribosomal RNA and internal transcribed spacer 2
Rfam family: 5.8S ribosomal RNA (bases 1-71)
Source: RNAcentral